Molecule: ribosomal RNA, 441 nt
Filed under: uncultured bacterium
Lineage: Bacteria
Description: partial 16S ribosomal RNA
Rfam family: Bacterial small subunit ribosomal RNA
Source: RNAcentral
CCUACGGGUGGCAGCAGUGGGGAAUAUUGCUCAAUGGGGGAAACCCUGAUCCAGCGACGUCGCGUGAGUGAAGAAGUAUUUCGGGAUGUAAAGCUCCAUUUGCAGGGAAGCAAAAAGACGGUACCUGACUAAGAAGCCCCGGCUAACUACGUGCCAGCAGCCGCGGUAAUACGUAGGGGGCAAGCGUUAUCCGGAUUUACUGGGCGUAAAGGGAGCGUAGACGGUGCGUCAAGUCUGGAGUGAAAGCCUGGGGCUUAAACCCGGGACUGCUUUGGAAACUGGCGCGCUAGAGUGCUGGAGAGGUAAGUGGAAUGCCUAGUGUAGCGGUGAAAUGCGUAGAUAUUAGGCGGAACACCAGUGGCGAAGGCAGCUUACUGGAGAGUAACUGACGUUGAGGCUCGAAAGCGUGGGGAGCAAACAGGAUUAGAUACCCUUGUAGUC